UGUUUCCUCUUCUGACCUCCCGUUUUACAUCCCUCGCAGUCGCAGAUGGUCUCCACGAGAAGGUCUCCGAGCUCCUCGUCUCGUCGGGUGCAAUUCGAUUCACGUGAAUUUAAGGGGCGCGCCCAUCUGCACCCAGCUCCUUGAAGCAGAAUUCACUUGUCUAGCCUGACAGACCCUAAUGUAUAGGUUUGUGCUUUGCUAGCUGAAUUACUCCGUGCUUUCUGUGGAUGUUACUUCAAAGACUCAUCAAAUUUCCGCCUACGCCGCUCUAUGUCUGAGAAGUUGAAGCAAUUUUGCGUGGAAGUUUCGUUUCCCUUCGAUGUCCGAGAAGAGAGCUCCUAGGAAGUUCGUCCGCUCGGUGGACUGGAGCAAUAUCCAGAUCCAGUCACUGUCUCCGAUCAUCCUUAUAUCUCACUGCCUCUUCUGUUUUGUAGCAGUCACAUCAGUUCAUAUGUGCAUAUCAGAGGAAAUAUGCUUUCACCAGGCGUGUUGGACCCAGCAUACCAAGUUCCCAGGUUGCAAAUAUGAUCCUAGCUAGCCAUUAAUAUGAUGGUUCCACAUUUUCUUAGCAUGAGGACUCUGCUAAUCAGUGUAACAAAUAUGUUGUUGCGCUGCCUAAUUUGUGCUAAUUCUGAAAAUAUGUGCCCCUAAUCUCUGAUAAUAGUAUGCGCAGACCCAAAAUGUCGGAGUUCUUAAGGACAUGCAAGUACUUAUUCUGUGCUUUUCCUGCUGAAAUGCACUUUAGUAUAUCAAAAUGACACUUCAUGAGGUGUUCGAAUUUUCUACUCACAUUCAGAUCGAGGGGUAGCGCACCAACCAACUGGUGCAAGCUGUACACUGAUGGCAUCCAGUCUGCCCUUCCAGUCAAUUUAUAAGUUACCAAUCCUGUUCGUCUGUCUUUUCUGUGAUCUGAUUCACGACUUAUGAGGCACACCCAUCUAUGUGCCAGAUGUCUGAAUCAGGAGGGUCAGGAAGCAGAAUUCAGCUGUGUAACCUGACAAUGAUUUGCAGGAGAAGCGAUUGGUGUGGGCUUUCUGUUUCUAAGUUUGUCCGCUCGGUGGACUGGAGCGAUAUCCAAGUUAGUUGCAGCGUCCAAUCAUCCAUAUAUGUCAUCGUUCCGUCUGUUUUGUACCGUCAUAUUUCAUAUGUGCAUUGGAUAAAAUGUGCUUUCUGUACGCAUGUUUAGAGUGGACCGAGUCACAGAUCUCAUUUAUAUGGCCAUAGGUAGUGAUCAAUAAAAGGGCACUGGAAUUUAUCUUCUAACGUCACUACUGUUUUAGUCUCUCUGCCUUUAUUUUUGUUGCUUCCGUUGUAUGGUUUAAAAGUUAGGCUUCAUCUGAUUUUAGUUGGUGAUGCUGAUAUAGAGAAUUCCAUAUGGCCAUUUUUUCCGGUUUCAUUGUCUCACAAUAACGGAGCUUAUUAAGCCCGCGAAACUGGAUCGCUUGCUCAUACAUAUCUUUCCCCGUGGAAUAGCAGAUUGUCAAGCUGUGUCUUAUCAUAUCAGUAUAUUAAGUAUAUAUCAUUUGUCCAUAUGAGCAAGAGAUAAUUAUCUAGCAGCUUAUUAUGCUCAUCUCUGAGAUCGAUCAUGCCCCUUCAAUGUUAGUUAGAGGUAUCAUUAGAAAAGGGUCUUCUCUCUUCAGCAGGAAGCAUGUGAUGCAUUCAAGAUUCAAUGAAUUCACGAAAACCAUAUUGUGGUCCUCCCUGUGCGGCAGGUACUCGAGAUGAAUAGUUUUUUGUAAGUGCACUGUAUGGCUGCUGUCACCCGGCAGGGGAGGUAAUUGUUCAAUUUGCAUUCCUGCAACUUCUUAUAUCUGGAAAGAAAAUUCUUACUAUUUUGCUGAGUUCACAGCCAAUGCAUCUUCUGAAAAACUGCAUUGGAUGUACUGACAUAAAUAUAUAGUAUAAUGAUGAUCUAAUAGCAAAUUAUAUGGCGAUAGGCAGUGAUGAUCAAUAAAUGGGCACUGGAAAUUAUCUUCUAACGUCUACAUCACUAUCGUUUUAGCUCCUCUACCUCUAUUUUUGUUGCUUCCGCUGUAUGGUUAUGCAGUUAGACUUCAUCUGUUUUUUGUUAGUUAAGCCGAUCUCGUUAAGCUGAUAAAAAGUUUUGCAUACGGCCCUUUACUCCUGUUUUCACAUACUGUAUCUUUCAUCGUCGAAUAACUGGAGAUUGUCAAGUUGUGUCUUAUCAUAUCAGUAUAUUAAGUAUGCCAUUUGUCGAUAUGAAGAGAUAAUCAUCUACCAGAUGAUUAUGCUCAUUUUUGAGAUCCGAUCCUGUACUUAUUGUUAACUAGAGGUGUCACUAAAAAAGGACAAGAAAAUAACCACUUGCCUCCGGUUCUUCUCUCUUCAGCAUGAAGCAUGUGAUGCAUUCAAGUUUCAGUGAAUUUACAAAAACCAAUAUUGGUGGUCAUCGAGAUGAAUUGUUUUUUUGUAGGUGCACUGUAUGUGUGCUGUCACCUGUCAGUGGAGGCAAUUGUUUAAUUUGCACUCCUGUGACUUCUUGUAUUUGGAAAGAAAAUUCUUACUAUUUUGCUGAGCUCA
Molecule: long non-coding RNA, 2541 nt
Organism: Triticum aestivum (bread wheat)
Lineage: Eukaryota; Viridiplantae; Streptophyta; Magnoliopsida; Poales; Poaceae
Exons: 2
Source: RefSeq, a predicted model, not a curated record